RNAcentral lists this ribosomal RNA (497 nucleotides) under uncultured bacterium. Its description in RNAcentral is "partial 16S ribosomal RNA". It matches the Rfam family "Bacterial small subunit ribosomal RNA", at positions 28 to 507 of the family's 1533-position model. The record is from RNAcentral.
GAUGAACGCUGGCGGCGUGCCUAAUACAUGCAAGUCGAGCGAACAGACGAGGAUCUUGCUCCUCUGACGUUAGCGGCAGACGUGAGAGUAACACGUGGAUAACCCACCUAUAAGACUGGGAUAACUUCGGGAAACCGGAGCUAAUACCGGAUAAGAUAUUGAACCGCAUGGUUCAAUAGUGAAAUACGGUUUUGCUGUCACUUCUAGAUGGAUACGCGCCGCAUGAGCUAGUUGUUGAGGUAAAGGCUUACCAAGGCAACUAGGCGUAGCCGACCGGAGAGGCGGAUCGGCGACACUGGAACUUAGACACGGUCCAGACUACUACGAGAGGCAGCAGUCGGGAAUCGUCCGCAGUGGUGGAAAACCUUGCGGAGCGGCGCCGCGUGAGAGAUGACGGUCUUCGGAUCGUAAAACUCUGUUAUUAGGGAAGAACAAAUGUGUAAGUAACUAUGCAGUUAUUGACGGUACCUAGUAAGAAAGCCCCGGCUAACUACGUG